GAUGAUUUGUAUGUUAAGCAUUGGGUUAAAAGAUGUUCGCAUGGUAGGCAUAUGCGGAAUUGGUGGAAUAGGCAAGACAAGUCUUGCCAAAGCCAUUUAUAACAAAAUUGCUGAUCAAUUUGAAAGGUGUUGCUUUCUUGACGAUGUUAGAAAAACCUCAGUGCAAACUCUGCAUUAAACCAUUCUUACUGACAUAACAGGAGAUAAAAAUGUAUUGAUGGGUAACUCUGCUGGAGGAAUCAAUAACGUAAAGAAGAUUUUAUGCAGUAACAGGGUUCUUAUUGUUAUUGAUGAU
Molecule: unclassified non-coding RNA, 295 nt
Filed under: Hevea brasiliensis (rubber tree)
Lineage: Eukaryota; Viridiplantae; Streptophyta; Magnoliopsida; Malpighiales; Euphorbiaceae
Source: RNAcentral